RNAcentral lists this transfer RNA (73 nucleotides) under Agrilus planipennis (emerald ash borer). It matches the Rfam family "tRNA". Rfam says of the family: Transfer RNA (tRNA) molecules are approximately 80 nucleotides in length. Their secondary structure includes four short double-helical elements and three loops (D, anti-codon, and T loops). The record is from Rfam by way of RNAcentral. Lineage: Eukaryota; Metazoa; Arthropoda; Insecta; Coleoptera; Buprestidae.
UCUCUCGUAGCUUAAUGGUCACAGCACUAGUGCGUAAAGCCAAAGGUCUUGGGUUCGAUUCCCGGCGAGGGUG